RNAcentral lists this ribosomal RNA (125 nucleotides) under Diaphorina citri (Asian citrus psyllid). The record is from RNAcentral. Lineage: Eukaryota; Metazoa; Arthropoda; Insecta; Hemiptera; Psyllidae.
GCCAGUGGCGACAGCACGUUGAAUGCACCAAUUUCAAAUGUAUCACUGAAGUUAAACAAAGUUGAGUGUGGUUAGUAUCCGAAUGGAUGAUCAAUGAUCAUCUGGGCAAUCUUGUGCUGCUGGCU